AUACUUACUUGCAGGGGAGGUACUGUGAUCACGACGGUGGCUUUGCCUGGGAGAGACCUAUCCAUUGCCCUCAGGAGGUGCUGACCCCGGCAACUUCUCCAAAUGUGGGAAACUUGACUGCACAGUUUGUGGUAGAGGGGGGCUGUGUUCGUACUCUCCCCUU
Molecule: small nuclear RNA, 163 nt
Filed under: Dasypus novemcinctus (nine-banded armadillo)
Lineage: Eukaryota; Metazoa; Chordata; Mammalia; Cingulata; Dasypodidae
Description: U1 spliceosomal RNA (ENSDNOG00000043609.1)
Rfam family: U1 spliceosomal RNA
About the family: U1 is a small nuclear RNA (snRNA) component of the spliceosome (involved in pre-mRNA splicing). Its 5' end forms complementary base pairs with the 5' splice junction, thus defining the 5' donor site of an intron.
Source: RNAcentral